GUGAAUCAUCGAAUUUUUGAACGCAAAUUGCACUCUCUGGUAUUCCGGAAAGUAUGCCUGUUUGAGGGUCAGUUUAAUAAAAAUCGGUGUUGUUUGUGCCUUUCGUUGUGGAGCCACGGCAUUUGGGUCUUCUACCUUUCGUUUAGGUCAGCUAACUUUUUGCAUGAUUUUUGUCGGUCUUUUAGUAAUUAUUGUACGUAUGAGUUAUAUAUUGAAUA
RNAcentral lists this unclassified non-coding RNA (218 nucleotides) under Glomeraceae sp. RNAcentral's name for it is "partial contains 5.8S ribosomal RNA and internal transcribed spacer 2". The stretch from base 1 to 71 matches the Rfam family "5.8S ribosomal RNA", at positions 84 to 154 of the family's 154-position model. Lineage: Eukaryota; Fungi; Glomeromycota; Glomeromycetes; Glomerales; Glomeraceae. The record is from RNAcentral.